UAAAAAAAUAUUAAAAUCAUCACAAAUAUAUCUCAAAUACAUCUCAAUUCAAUCUUAAUUUUAUCUUAGUUAAAAUCCUAUUGGACUUCAUUCAAACUUUAGGCUAAAAUUAAUUAAAUUUUAAAUCCUAAACAAAUCCUAAUAAAAUCCUAAAUCCUAAAUCAAUUUCUAAACCCUAAACCAAACCCUAAAUCUUAAACCAAAUCCUAACCAAAUCAUAAAUCCUAAAUCAAAUCCUAAACAAACUUUAAACCAAAUUCCAACCAAACCCUGUAUCAAAUCUUAAAUCCUAAAUCAAAUCCUAUCCGAAUCCUAAAUCAAACCCU
This 326-nucleotide long non-coding RNA is filed under the name Physcomitrium patens. RNAcentral's name for it is "long non-coding RNA (PPAT_LNC012112)". Lineage: Eukaryota; Viridiplantae; Streptophyta; Bryopsida; Funariales; Funariaceae. The record is from RNAcentral.